AAAUGCUACCGCAAUUGGAACACAAGGUCAGAAUCCUGCCCUUUUUGUCGUGGUAGCUUAAAGAGAGUUAACUCAGAAGACCUAUGGGUGCUCACUUGUAACAGUGAUGUGGUUGACACAAAAACAAUAUCCAAGGAGGACUUGUUGCGAUUCUACCUCUAUAUUAACAGCUUGCCGAAGGAUUACCCAGAUGCGCUUUUCUUGGUAUAUUAUGAAUAUCUAAUGUGAAUUGGAGUAGAUGAGAGGAGUGAUGUACAGAUAGCAAAGCCAACCCUCAAUUGUAAAUAGAGUCUGGUACAAGCACACGAUUGUUUCUCUGAUUCUUAGACCCAAAAAAAAAAAAUCAAUAUCAUCUGAUGC
This 360-nucleotide unclassified non-coding RNA is filed under the name Hevea brasiliensis (rubber tree). Lineage: Eukaryota; Viridiplantae; Streptophyta; Magnoliopsida; Malpighiales; Euphorbiaceae. The record is from RNAcentral.